Long non-coding RNA from Zonotrichia leucophrys gambelii, 239 nucleotides. RefSeq lists it as uncharacterized. Lineage: Eukaryota; Metazoa; Chordata; Aves; Passeriformes; Passerellidae. The record is from RefSeq and is a predicted model, not a curated record. The transcript is spliced from 3 exons.
CUCUGUUGGUCCUAUUUGCUCAUGAUACAGGAUCAGCACAGACUUAACAACGAACUGGAGGAUCCCAAAGCACUCCACAAACCACACAUGGAAGUGACUUCUGCCUCUGCUGAAUAUGGACGAUGAGGUGAAACAUGCCAACCCCUUUAACAUCACAAACCAGCACUGCCACACAGCAGCUCAGGAAAAAAAAAGAGAGAUUUCCCAGCAGAGGCACUACAUAUGAAAAAUCCAAGCAG